This is a long non-coding RNA of Calidris pugnax (ruff), 11862 nucleotides long. RefSeq lists it as uncharacterized. The transcript has 2 exons. NCBI's taxonomy places the organism in Eukaryota, Metazoa, Chordata, Aves, Charadriiformes, Scolopacidae. The record is from RefSeq and is a predicted model, not a curated record.
GGGAGAGCUGCUCGCCAGGAGCCGGCCCUCGCCCGGCGCCCGAGAGGGACGGGGGUUUUUCCUCUUCGGCAACGCUCCGCUGCCGCCGGCCGCCCAGAUAAGGGGGCAUUGGCAGCCACGGCUCGAGCAAAAUAGGACUCCUUGGAUGAAACCAAAAUAAGCGCCGGGAGCAUUUGGUGAUGUACGUGGGAGGAAGGCACAAGCCACCAAGGCCCCGUUCCCUCCAUCUUGAGCCUUCCGUGGUGAUUUGCAGCAGCACAGGGAAGUAUGAAGCACUGAGGGACUGAAGUCAGUAUUUAAACGGGACUUCAGUGUAAAUGUCUAUCCCAGGUUCACAUCAACAGAGGACGAGGGGUAGAAUAGCAGGAAUACUUAAGGUGCCUAUUUUAAAAGUUCUCUUUUGGGUAUUUUAAGAUUAAGGAGAUAUUUAGAAAAUAUGACUCUCCACAUGUGUUUAUGUUUACGUGUCCUAAUAGAAGAUGACUGUCCGCAUUAUCUUACACGCUGGAUACCUCUUGGGUCAAUCUGUAUCACCUUAGUGAUUUCAGGGGAGCUGUAUUGAUUUAAGUUAGUUAAAGAACUCACCCGGUUAAGUUUUAAAUAAUUGGAAUGAUACUCUCCCUCUUUUUCAGUCAGAUUUGCCCUUCAUGUUACUUGUGUUUCAUAAUCCUCCUAGCUCUCCAUUUCAUCAUUACAAGACCAGCAUCUCUAUCGCAAAAAAAGAGGAGAAAAAAUACCCCUUAAAAGAUAGUCUUUUUACAAUCAGAUUUUCAGAUUUCAGCAAUUAUUUUCAUGUUUAAAUAAAUUUAGGGCACAAGCUCAUCCUAUUUUUUUUAAUAGGCCAAUUUAGUUUCAUUUACUUACACAGGCAUUUUUUUAAAGCUAGAAGCUCUCAGGAAGAGAAUGUGUUCGAUGCACCAGAACCCUUUAGGGUUUUGAUAAAAGACAUUAUAUCAUGAGUAACAUCUCCAGUUCUGUUAUUCUUCUUAUGUAGUAGCGACAAGAUUGAAUCACCAUUUUUAGCUAUUCUUCAGCAGAACUCGUAAUCUAUCAAUGUGUCAGCUCAACAGCAGUUUUCUCUUCACACUAAUGUGAACCAGAAGGUCCAGCUAUCACUGAUUUUGACAAUUUUAUUUUAUCUGAGAUUGCAUGUGUUGCUGAAGUUUGAAGAAAAUGAAUUAUGGAACUUAUUAUAUUUUCCUAAGGAUGUACAAAACAUAAAAUAUGUCAUCUAAAACAUUUUAAACUCAUUUGUACUGGAUAACAUUCCUAAGUUAGGUGUUUCAUAAGCCUUAAGCUAUAAGCACUAGAAAAUAUUCGUGUGCUAAGUAACAAGUAUAAGAUCAAAUGUGGGGCCCAUAUUUUUUGAAUGCCUCAGAUUGCCCUCUGUGUUGUUACAUAAUGCAUCAUAAAGAAAUACGUGCCUUCAUUCUCUUUAAAUCACUCCAGCAUGGAUAGUACUAAGCCUUCCUUCAAGUCCUCGUUAUGCAAGUCCUUGCUACUGUUAAUAGCUGUCACUUUGGCAUGGUUACUUAAAAAACAAGGUAACCGCAGAGUUUUUGUGAAGCUCCUUGCAUUUCUGGAAUUUACAAUGAGUCAGUUCCAGGUGCUUUGCUCCAUUUCUUAACUAUAAACCAAAUUAUUAUAAGCAAACCAGGAUUUUUUCCCCAUUCCAUUCCACUGUAUCACAAGGUAAUCAGUUUUUUUGUUUAGUUGCUUCUGCAAGCAUAUAUUAUGGGUAUCUGAAUGCACUUCUCCAGUGUCAAAAUACAGUGGAAUAGACCAGAAUAGAGUAAUAUUUUGAAUGUCUGUUGAAAAAUGCAGGCAUAUAACUACGUACUAAAAAAUGCAUAGAAUAGGAAAAAUCCAUGACCAAUCUAGCAAAGCUAUUGGAUAACAAAAAAUCCAUAUAGGCAUUAAGUACUAUUAUUUAAAGUAAAAAUCUGUGUUACACAGUAUAAGCAGCAUUCAAGUGAAAUUGAUGAGACAUCUGUAUAGAACAGAAAGAAUAAUUUUUUAAAGCUAUGAUAUUAUGACGUUUGUAUUUCUUUACUUGGGAAGUGGAAUUUUCCUUGUCUUUUCAUAAAGGCAUAAAAUUAACAACAAGCCCUUCAGAGAAUUAGGUGCACUGCCUGGUUUGUGGUUUUUUUCCUUUACUGAACAUAGAGAUCGUUGGUGGAAAAAAAUGCGGAGGAACCUAUCUGGGUUUUCCCAUAUCAUGGAGAGCUUUCCACGGAGCCUGUCCUUUAGUAAGGCCUCGGUUUUAAAGAUACUGAAAUAGGAAUAUCUCAAAAUUCAUAAUACUGACUAUAUAAAGAAACAUUUUGCUCUCAGUUUAUGCUUGUAGAAGUAUACAAGUAGUAACUCGGUGAUGUAUCACCAGAAAAAGGAGGGUUUUGUUUCAUAUUCUAUGAGUAGAUCUAUUAGUGUAACAAACCUUUAUGGCAUUUUUACUUUUUUUUUUUUUACCUUUUUGUUGCUCUUAUAAAUUUGGGGUGCUGGCUUAUUUGUUUACUUCCCUUCUCCUACUAUUAAUUCUUUUCAAAGGUUCAACUAUAUUCUGUUCGGGUUUUGGUACAGCACAUGGAAAAUAUUUUCUUCAUUCCUUUUGCAAGCAGUAGGUUGGUGGGAGGAGGUCUGCACUGUAAAAUAGUAUACCUACUAAAUUGUACUCCAGUGGGAGAUUAAAUAAGAAAGAGCAGAAUGGCUGAGACAAGUCAUUCGUCACAGAUGUUCAUGCAGUUCUGUGUUUUGUUUUAAGCUGGAUUCAUCAAACACGAUAAGGAGUAAUUUCUGUCUAAUAUGAAGUUCCCAUCCAAGGAGACUAAGUGGGUUAAGUUUAAACGGUGGUUUGAAAAUAGGGGGAAAUGGUACUGGGCUCUUGAUGGCUUGAUUCGGUAGCCAAAGUGGACACAAGGAAUUAAAUUGGAGAAUGCUAUUUUUGCGGUGUCUAAAAUAUGUCAAUUCAGAAGUAAGAAGGAAAAUGCAUCACAAAUAUAUUACUAUGGAGCAGAGUUACUUUAGCUACAAGAUGCUUCUGCCUAUAAAGCGCAAAGAUUUUACCAUAGAAGUCUGAAUACGUAGAUUAUAAAGGGUACCGACGCUGUCGGAGAGCAGGCAUGAAAUGUUGAUGUGAUAACGUCUCAUAUUUAAGUGGCAUUUACUGACUGCUUUUACAUUCUAAAAUAAGUUUAGUAAUAAAACUUAGUGAAAAUGUACAAGAUAAGCACUAGUGUAAUAUUUAUUUCAGGUUUUUUUUAGAUAGACUGAUUAACAUAUUUAAUAAAGUAGAAUACGAAUGAGAAGGCCCAGGACUAAGGUUACUUUAAAAGGGGAAUUUUAAAAAAUGAGUAUCAGACUGAUUCUUAGUUUUUAUUAGUUACUAUCUCUUUUAAUAUAUUUUUCCCUUUUGUAAGUCCUUAUCUGUCACUAUUCCUUCAGAAAUACUGUGCCCCUGCCCCAAAAGGGAGAAAUAUAAUGUCUGCAAUUAGCUUCUGUUUACUGGAGCAAAAUGAUUUUUUCCCAAACUGAAAUAUAUGCAUUAAUUUCCUAGAUUUCCAGCUAUUUUUACCUAUGUUAUAAGUGAUAAAUGGGUAGUGGUGUCCAUUUUAAUGCAGCUUACUGCAGUAUAGCAGCUGUAAUCUAGCGUUUUUCUCUUUGGAAGUCAGAUACGCAGAAUUGUCAGCCUGUUUGCUUUUAAGAACCUGAAAACUGAAUUGGAAAAAAAUAUUUUUGAUAGAAUAAGUUUGGCUUUUCAGUCUGUACUUCCUUUUGAGUUUUCUAAGUAAACGCUACAUAGACUGAUUAUCAGAAAAAUCGAGGCUUACAUAAUCAAGCCAUACAUUUUUCUACUGCCUCCCUUCCCCCACAUAGCUUUCAUUUUACUCUGAGAAAUUUUUAAUAGAAAAUUACUAUGGGAUGCUGAUUAUAUACACAUUUCCAUGAGACUGCAUAGCUAAGCUAUUUAUAUGUAUUUAGUAAAAGAAAGCAAUAAACAAAAUUUUAGAACCUUGAGAUGGCUAAACUUUAAAAUUACAGUAAUCAUUAAGUACAGCUUUGUACCUAGCUGUGUAGCAUGGAGUCUUUUUUCUUUGCAUGGGGAAUUUGGGUACUUCUCUGUGUUCCUCAUUCAGAAUAAGAAAAAUGAGAACGUCGUACCCCAUUUUUUUUAACUCGUCGCAAAGCCGAUGCUCCUUCAUGAGGCAGGCAGUUUUAAUACCCAGCUUCCAGAGGGUGAGCAGUGAUUGUCGUUGGCAAAAUAUAUAGCAAAUGAAUCAAAACUCUGUCCUGCUAGAAUAAUUACAAAUUGAAUUAAUUACCAAGAAUGAUAUUAAAAUUUUAUCAAAAUAUGCUAACAUGAACUCUUACCCAUAGGUGGCAGUCAGCUUUCACUGUAGUAGGGAUGCCAAACUUUUGCUUCGUGGUAUUCAUACUUAUGCUGGAAUAAUGUUGAUGGCUCUGCAUAUGUGCGUGUACAUAAGUAUAUACAUACCUGCGUGUUGGGAGAGGUGGAAGGAGGUAAAAUUUACCCUAAAAUAAAUUAGUAAUUAAGAGGAUUCUGAAUUGCUAUAUAUAAGCAAAAGAAAUUAUCUUAUUCUGGAGCAAAGGCCCAGGUAUUAAUUUUUAAAACCACACAAAUAAUUUUUUAUCUGUCCAUUGCUGAUGCUCAUAUAAAAUAAGAAGUGAUAAUUCAGAAAUGUGCUGGUGCCCCUAGAAACUGAGCAGAGAGGGAAGUAUCUCACCAGCCUUAGAGAACAUGACCCCGUACCGUCCCCAAUCCUCCAAAUUGCAUUUCUAUUUUGUCACCCCUUAUCUGUAAAUUACAGAAGAGCCGCAGUGACGACACUCUGCCCUGGGAACCCCAGCAAUAAGCUCCCUUAAACAUCAAGCUCAUACAGAAGAGGUGCUCGGGGUGAGGGUGUCCUUUCAGCCACGGAGAGCGAGCAAAACCCGUGGGGCUGGGGUUCUCCUCCUCUAUGCAGAGCUGCCAUCGACAUCUGUGGCAGUGCCACGCAAGGGGAGGACGCUGCCUGCCAGAGCAGAGAUCCGCUCCAUUUCGCCCUCAGCUUUUUGGGGGCUUUCCGAGGUUUAUGGGGAUUUCCUUUUGCAAUAUCGCUAAGGAGGCACUUGGGACCCCACCAAAACUGGAGGGGAUAGAAGGAGCUAAUGAGGCCAAGUCAUCUCAGCCUAAAACAAACAGAACUUGUGAAACUGCACACAUGACAUACUAAGACGAUAGAGCUCUUACAGGGAAAUAAGACCGAAAACUGAAAUUCAUGAGUGAGUAAAGUCAUAUUCUUUUUACUAUUAUAGCCACACCGGGAGUCUUUUCAGUUAAGGUUAAUUUAAUAUAGUGUCAAGGUAGGCUGUUUAGCAGAGGUCAGGAACUAGCAUUUUACAAAAUGGAAAAUUGGAAAAAUACACAAUUAUGUGUUGCUACUCCAAUGUUUCGCUGUGAUGCAAGAUUAAGGGCUCAGAAUAGAGUGGAAUGGCGCAGUAUUAUUAAAACAGAAGGCCUAAUUCUCCUUAUGCAAGAGUCGCAGCAACACACAUAGUUGUAUAAGCCAGAGCAGUCAGUAUGAUUUCAUAGUCAAAGAGAGUAUUUCCACAUACACUCCACCACGACGUGACUAAUUAGAUACUUGCAUGUACACGGACCCAUUUGUUCCCCAACUGUAAUAAUCAGGAGGAUUGCGCUCCACGUUAAUUCACACUCUUGUGUAACACUACUGAAUACAAGAUAGCAGGUGAUGAUAAACUGGCUGGUGACAAACAUGUAAAUUUUAUGUGAAUUUUGAAAACCAAGGCUUUCAUAGUCAGCUCUGACGGUGACGUAGGCAAGACUGGAGAAGACCUCCUCAGCCCUGGGGCCAGCCAUCGCAUCUGUGCCCCAGCUAUUGCAGGCAGCCCUGUUGCACUAUUCAACUGAUUUGCAGAGAUAUCAGGUGCCAUCUUGAAGGUACUCACCCAUGUCAUGAGGUUGCUCCUUAUUUUCUCUUCCUCUGAAUGGUUAAAGAUUUCAGAUGAUGUGUAUUCAGCACCAGAUUUCACCAUAUUCAACAUUCUCAUGUUCUGUGGGGUCUUUGACUUCAGUUUAAAGAGCAUUUCUCUCUCACGGUGUAAUCACAGAAUAGCAGGGGUUGGAAGGGACCUUUGGAGAUCAUCUAGUCCAACUCACCUGCCAAAGCAGGGUCACCCAGAGCGGGUUGGACAGGAACGCAUCCAGGCAGGUUUUUAAUAUCUCCAGAGAAGGAGAUUCCACCAUCUCACCAGGCAGCCUGUUCCAGCGCUCUGCCACCCUGAAAGUAAAAAAAUUUUUUCUCAUAAAGUCCCUUUCAAUCUGUCACCCCUUGAGCUUUUGUAGGUUCCUGCCAAAACCUGCUCCUCCAUGGUUCAGCCAAAGCAGCUGUGCUACACCUGUCACAGAGAAGGAUGCCUUUCCCCACCAUUCCUUUAGCCCUCCUUUGUAUCUUUUCCAUUUCCAGUAGAUCUCUUUUAACAUGCAGGUUUAGAAGUAGACACAGUUCUUCAAAUAAUAUGUCAUCAGGGCCUCUUGUGGUGGCAUGAAUACCUUCCUAUCCCUGCUAGAUAUACAGCAACUAUUAUUUUGAUAUCUUUUAACUUUUAUAUUCAGAGCUACCUGCUAUCAACAUCUCACAAGCCUUGAGGACUGCCCGAAGCACCCAACAUACCCUUUUUUUAUGGGUGCUGAUAGCAAAAGUUCUUGUUGUUCGUUCCUGGUUUAUGACUGUGAACUUUGCACUGUUAUAGUGGUAUUGCAUGGCAAGGGUGUCAAAAGGCUUUUUAUAAGAAGAGUGUCAUCAGUUUCAUCCAAGCCACGGGCUUCCCCUGAGUUUCCUGGCAUGUCCAGAUUUGUUCAGGAAUCUCUACGCUUUUGCACGACUAUAGACGUGAGCUGGCACAUGCACGUGACACGGCGCAGGGCUCUGCAGGUGAGCUACCUUGGCUCGUGGGACAGAGGUGUCUCCAGUAUUACCUUACCCCAGGCACAUCGUGGUAUGUUAUUUCAGGUUAGCCUUCAGGAAGUCACGCAGUGCUUGUGACUCCAUAUCCUGCACUGGCCUCACUUGACAGCUCUGGGAGCAAGAGACCAAAUUCUGAAAUAUUUUUCCAGGAUCAACAGAGGAGAAGGAUUGAGUGUCACAUUGUAUUGUUUCUAUUGAUCUUGUAGGUUAAUCUCCAGCUUACAGGUUAUGCCUGUGAGAUUGAAGGGAAAGUGGGAUGUACAAGCGUUGUGUGGCACUCUUGAAUAACAUGUUAAAAAAAAACAUUUUUUUGUAAUAGAAGAAUCUGGAGGCCUUUCAGUGGCCGUGUUUCUGGAAGUUAAGAAACAUUAUGACUGUCUCAAAUUAAACAAGCAAAAAUCUAUUUUUCUUUCUUCUCUUUGUCUUCCAUUGGAACUUUCUGUAUGAAAUUUGUAUUGUGGCAUUUUUAUAUAGCAAUUUUAUUUUAUAUGUUUUACUUCUGUGCCUGCAGGACAGCUAAGAAACUUGACCACUGUGGAUUAUCUUUAUAAUGAAAAUACCAUCCUGAAGAACUUUCGCUAGGUUUGGUGUAUGCCAGCUUCCGGGAUACUGGGUCAAGUUCAUCAUGUAAAAUUACUUUUGUCCCCUUCAUUAUAUGAUACUUCAGCCCCACUUUGUGCAAACAGUGCCCCAGCUUUGUAUCAUCAUUCCUCGAUUAAGGUAGUCAGUGAAAAUCACUCAUAAGAUCUGUCUGGGAUCAUUCUUUAAGGAAGUCCACUAGCAACUUCCCUCUGGCUUGAGACUUUCCCUUCAAAAUUACUUCACAAGUUUUUAUUCAUUUUAAGAGUUAAUUUAGCAAUUGUGGUCUUCCCUACUUUUUUUUUUUUUUUCAAGUAGCGUAGUAACAAAUGUUUCCCUGAAAUCCAAUCAGAUUAGGUCAGCUCAUUUCCUUGAUGUAAAAUAAAGUAGGGUUUGAUGUUUUUUUUAAGUGUCUGGCUAGUGUGCCAUAAUCUAUUCUUAGGAAAGCUUUGUGGUGUUUGUCUUAUUUUCUAUUUAUCCAAUUUUAUCCUACGCUUCCUUGCAUCCAAGUUCUUGGUGGGCAGUCCCAGUUUCUUCCCCUUUUAAACUCUGAUUACUUCUAAGUCCUGUAUGAAGUGGCUGCUCUUCCACUUGGAUUCAAAGACCAACCUGUACAAGUUUUCCCACCCAGAAAUUAAAAAAGGCAGAAUGAAACUUUUUUUUUUUUUUUUUUGUCAUUUCACCUCCAUCUAAAGGAUUCACGAAGAAGCUCACUCAGAGAUGGUGACAAAACAUGGAUUUUCUUGGAGUCUUCAGCAUGUAGCUGGGAAGACCAUACACAUAAGAGUCUCUACAUCCUGCAAUUUACCGCUCCACGACAUUCCCACUUGGAGGGCUUGUCAUUUCUUAAAGUCUUAAAAAGAAAGUGAACAUAACUAAACAACUAAACUAAACAGCUUGGUUAAGGUUGCUACAGGUUAAAAGGCAUCUUUUAAAAACCUGAAGUUAUACCCAAAUGAAGAAAACGGAGAAAAACAUUUAUCUAGCAGAUUAGAUGUGUAAAAACACAAGUGUAUUAAAAAAUGAGUUUGAGGGAAAAGCCCAGUGGCUCACAUGGCAGAAAUCUUUAGCAAUGGCUCUAGAGAAAGAUACAGGUGACCACGGACCAUUAGGCCUGGUGACCAAGCCAGGUGAAGUACAGAAAAUAAUUAGUGAACAAAAGGGUAACUAAGUGUGACUUUGGGAAAGAAACAGGCAGCUUUUUUGAAAAGAAGCGAUGCCCCACGAGUCCCUCUGUACGGGGAGAGAUCUGGCCAAUACACCCCCAAGGAAUAAAAAAAAAAGACAUCUGACAUCUUUUAGCAAAGACUCUCAGAGAAAUUAAGCUGCGCGGGCUUCUCACGUGGACAAAUAACACAUGAAAGGACGGGAAGGAAAGGACAGAAAUGAGUGCUCCCUUGUCGUGGUGGUGGGAGACAAAUAGAGCCCCUCGGCCAGCGUUAAUUACACAGCGAGCUCAGAAAUGUUCUGGGGAGGGACAUGAAUAAAGGUUGCAGAGAUCACUGUCAGCACGGAGACAGGAGGAGGAGGGAGGACACCCCGAAGCUGGGUGAGCGGGCAGCACACCAGCAGACGAACCUGGGUGUAGGUGACUGCAGUGUGUUACUCGGGGGGGGACUGGGGGGUCUCAGCUGGCUGCUACCCCUCCGGAGCAGCCUCCUGGGGCUGUUCGAGACCCUGCUGAUGUACUUGGAGACAACACUUCCACGAAAACAUCCAUGCGCUGCUUGGCAGUGGCUCAAAAAGCAAGCAAAACGUUAGGAAUUACAAAGAGAGGGACAGGGAACAAAACAAAACAACACAAAACAAAACAACAAAAAGAAAAACCCCAACCAAAACCAAAACAAACAUGAUUAUGGUGCUGCGUAAAACUUGUCUGCCACUUUCCAAGUCUUGCACAUGUUUCUCUGGCCCGGCUGCCUUUAGCUUAAAUGCAUAGCAACGUGCUUGUUUAAAAAACAUUGCAAAAUCAAAGCUAGAAAGCCAGUAUCAGACAAACAAACAAACCCCACUGUACUAAAAGAAAACAACGGUUUGGUUCAUGGGCUUCUCCCCCACGAGGAAAGGCCACAAGGAAAUGAAGCACCAGAGGGUAACUGUGGCACUGCUGGAAACACGCUAAGGAGCGGUGGAGGCGAGUAUGUAGAAUAGUCUGAUGAUGCUUUCACCCUCAUUUGCACAUCACUUCCCUUAUUUUAUCCUUCUAGAGCAAAUCUAGUAAUAAAGCAGUAAAGAGUGAGCAGGAGAGAGCGUUGUGGCCAGGACGGCAACACACACACAAAGACUGGGAAGAGAGAUGUGAUGGCAGAGUCUGUUGACAUGUUUUCCUAGAUGAGGCAACUGGGAAUACCUCAGAGAUCAGGGUUAUUUAAUAUUUUUAUUAAUGACCCUGUACCAACAACCUGUGUAUGAGCUGUACUGGUGAAAUCUGCCAACAAGGCAAGAGCUGGGAGUUCGCGGUGGGUACCUGUUAUGGUGGAAGUGACAGGCUGUGUCCACUGCUUUAAUAAAAGCAGGUAAAAAUGUAAUUAAAACCCAUUUUUGCAUGCUAAGGAACUAGUAUGAGGCUCAACUACAGAUGGGAGCUUAGGAGUGAGACUCUCCAAGACGUGAGGGUCUGUGAAGGUCACAGGAUGACCUUGUGGGGCACAGGAGUGAUGCAGUGGGGAAAGAAGCAAACACAAGCGUAGGGCAUAACAAGUGCAGAUGAGGGAUUUCCAGAAUGGGUACUGCUUUCCAGACCACAUGGCAUCUGCGAUACCAUUCGUGAUUCAGGUCACCUGUGCUUGGGGAACGUGAAACGAAACCGGGUGCAGAAAGCUCUUCAGGACAAGAUGGAGCUCGUCUGGCAAGAACUGGUUAAAAACGGGUUGCAUUCAUUAACCAAAGGUGGACGGGGAGGGGAUAUUUCUUUGGAAGGGCUUGUGAUCUCCGACUCCCACGAGUGGAAGUCUGAAGGGGAGGAGGAAGAGGGGCUGGAUGCGCUCUCCAGCCCCUCCGCAAGGCACGGAGAGUGACUGUGGGACGGGGUGUUCAGCCCAGGGGUCUGCCCUGUGCGUGAUGGAUGGCGGCAUUUCUCACCACUGCACGGCGGCAGCAAACAUUUUUAAGCGUGGCGAUCAAUUUUGUUCUCCAGCAUCUAAUUGAACAUCAGUAAAUAUGUUAUUAAGAUGCUUGACAGUGUGCUCUUCUGCAAUCAAGGCCAAGAUGUAGCCAGAUACUCAUCUUAAUCUCUCCAGACACAUUUCUAAUGAAUUUUUACGGUGCCUAGAGGAAAGGUCCCUGGUCUGAACUGGGAUACCUGGGUGAUAAAAGCAAAUUAUAAUUAAUAAUAUAUUGUGUUUAUGGUGUCAGAUUGUCAUCUAAAGACAGUGGUAAAAUCUUGUAGUAUAGGCUACUGCUAGAAUCCUAUUAAUAAAACUGCUUACUUUAAAUCACUCCCAAAGCGUAAAGUAGGAUGUUUCUUUGUUGACAGUGCUUUCUCUUGAAUAUUUAUAUUUAACUCCCUAUUUAUGAUCUAUCAAGAAACCACCCAAUAGUGAUAGCAACUGUAUUUUGAAAUAUUCCGUCGUGUUGCAGUGGUUUUGUUAUCAUUCUGUCCUAUGAAGAUACGGAUAAACUUCCUUUCUGCUUAGCAGAAAUAUGGCACAAGGUCAAGGCUCUAUACCCAGUGCAGAGCACAACUAGGGAAGAGACCUAGAACUGCUUAGGAUUAGUAUACUGUCUCCUACACUACUCAGUCCUCUUUUUCUUUAGGUAAUCCAUCCACACUUUUACAAUGGCAACAUUUUGAUCUUCUGUUUUCUGCUGGCCUGGUGGAGCUUCUUUACUCCUUUUUUUUUUUUUUGAGUAAAAUUUACAAAUUUUACUCGAAAAAAUCUGCUGACUUCUUCCAUGUAUGAAAGCCAAUGCCAGCAGCGCAUGCUACACAAACAGAUUCUAGUUCUCAUUGAAAUUCACAUUUCUAGUCAAUCUAAUUUUACUACGAAAGCAUUUUGCUUUCCUUUGCCUCCUAGAUUUUCUUAUUCUUUUUGAACCAUUCAAGCAGAAAAGAUGGAAUCCCUGGCCCCAUUGCAGUGCUGGAAAAUGUGCGGAGAACUACACUGAAAAGAGGGCCUCAGGUGUUCCAAGCUCAAAUGAAAGCUGUUUGGGUCAUGUAGUUGGCUUUGAGCAGUCUCGACAUUUUAGCUCAGAAAACUACGUAACCAAUCUAGAAAAAAAAAUCCAUUUAUCACCUUGUGCAGUGUAAUCACAAAGGGUUUGCGUAAUAAUAAUAAUAAAAAGACUGAAUUAUGAA